This is a long non-coding RNA of Brienomyrus brachyistius, 535 nucleotides long. RefSeq lists it as uncharacterized. The transcript is spliced from 4 exons. The record is from RefSeq and is a predicted model, not a curated record. Lineage: Eukaryota; Metazoa; Chordata; Actinopteri; Osteoglossiformes; Mormyridae.
UCCCCCGGCCGGUUUGAACGUAAUUCUUCUCGCUACUUUUUGAUCAAAUUGUCCCAAUUGUCCCAAUACCCUGAAAUUGUCGGUUUGUACGAUAAUUACACGCUUAAUAGCACAAUAACAUAUUGUCACUGUAUGGGUACAACGAGAUGCCCUUCUGUUGAAGCCUCAGUAAAGACUGUAAAGUUUAAGAAUAUAGAAUAGAAUAACAUAAUAAUCACAGUGUAAUGUAGUUUUAACCGUAUUAUUUAUUUAGCGCCAUAUUCCCUUCUAUCUCAGUCGUGUUCCUGGCUUAACGGCAAUUCGCUCCAUCAGGACCGGAGCCCCCUGUGAAAACCCACAUGGACACGGGGAGAGUGUGCAGACUCCACACAGAAAGGACCCAGGACCAAACCCAGGAUUAUCUUGCUAUAUGUUCUUCAAAAAACUUUGGGACACUACAGUUCUACCGAGAUCAUAGGAGACCUGGAUGGUAUCCCUGGUGACACUGCUGGGGUACAUUCCGGAUGGGAUGCCAGCCUAUCACAGGAAACAUAUG